RNAcentral lists this ribosomal RNA (497 nucleotides) under uncultured bacterium. Its description in RNAcentral is "partial 16S ribosomal RNA". It matches the Rfam family "Bacterial small subunit ribosomal RNA", at positions 28 to 507 of the family's 1533-position model. The record is from RNAcentral.
GAUGAACGCUGGCGGCGUGCCUAAUACAUGCAAGUCGAGCGAACGGACGAGAAGCUUGCUUCUCUGAUGUUAGCGGCGGACGGGUGAGUAACACGUGGAUAACCUACCUAUAAGACUGGGAUAACUUCGGGAAACCGUAGCUAAUACCGGAUAAUAUUUUGAACCGCAUGGUUCAAAAGUGAAAGACGGUCUUGCUGUCACUUAUAGAUGGAUCCGCGCUGCAUUAGCUAGUUGGUAAGGUAACGGCUUACCAAGGCAACGAUGCAUAGCCGACCUGAGAGGGUGAUAGGCCACACUGGAACUGAGACACGGUCCAGACUCCUACGGGAGGCAGCAGUAGGGAAUCUUCCGCAAUGGGCGAAAGCCUGACGGAGCAACGCCGCGUGAGUGAUGAAGGUCUUCGGAUCGUAAAACUCUGUUAUUAGGGAAGAACAUAUGUGUAAGUAACUGUGCACAUCUUGACGGUACCUAAUCGGAAAGCCACGGCUAACUACGUG